Molecule: ribosomal RNA, 442 nt
Filed under: uncultured bacterium
Lineage: Bacteria
Description: partial 16S ribosomal RNA
Rfam family: Bacterial small subunit ribosomal RNA
Source: RNAcentral
CCUACGGGUGGCAGCAGUGGGGAAUAUUGCGCAAUGGGCGCAACCCUGACCCAGCAACGCCGCGUGAAGGAAGACGGCUUUCGGGUUGUAAAAUUCUUUUGUCCGGGGAGAGUAGAAGACGGUACCUGACGAAUAAGUCACGGGUAACUACGUGCCAGCAGCCGCGGUAAUACGUAGGUGGCAAGCGUUGUCCGGAUUUACUGGGGUUAAAGGGCGGGUAGCCGGGGUGACAAGUCAGAUGUGAAAUCCUACGGCUUAACCGGAGAGCUGCAUUUGAAACUGGUGAUCUUGAGUACUGGAGAGGCAGACGGAAUUCCUAGUGUAGCGGUGAAAUGCGUAGAUAUCUGGAGGAACAUCAGUGGCGAAGGCGACUAUCUGGCACAUAACUGACGCUGAGGAGCGAAAGCGUUGGGAGCAAACAGGAUUAGAUACCCGAGUAGUC